RNAcentral lists this long non-coding RNA (225 nucleotides) under Lathyrus oleraceus (garden pea). Its description in RNAcentral is "Pisum sativum (pea) long non-coding RNA (PSAT_LNC013163)". Lineage: Eukaryota; Viridiplantae; Streptophyta; Magnoliopsida; Fabales; Fabaceae. The record is from RNAcentral.
AUCAUCUUCUCUAAUGUCCAUAAUUGUAAAAUCAGUUGGAAUGUAGAAUUGACCUAUGCGUACGGGAACGUUUUCAAGAAUUCCUACAGGAUAUUUGAUGGAACGAUCUGCUAGUUGCACAGACAUUUUGGUUGGUCUUAAUUCUCCCAUUUCCAGUUUCUUACAUAUGGAUAAAGGCAUAACGCUAAUUCCGGCUCCUAAAUCGCAUAAGGCUUUGUCGAUGAC